GUGUUCCCUUUGGCUGCACAUAUGUACUAAAAUUAGAACAAUACAGAGAAGAUUAGCACGGCCCCUGCACAAGGAUGACAUGCAGAUUCGUGAAGUGUUCCAUAUUUAA
Sciurus vulgaris (Eurasian red squirrel) is the source of this 109-nucleotide small nuclear RNA. The record is from Ensembl. NCBI's taxonomy places the organism in Eukaryota, Metazoa, Chordata, Mammalia, Rodentia, Sciuridae.